RNAcentral lists this ribosomal RNA (253 nucleotides) under uncultured bacterium. Its description in RNAcentral is "partial 16S ribosomal RNA". It matches the Rfam family "Bacterial small subunit ribosomal RNA", at positions 524 to 776 of the family's 1533-position model. The record is from RNAcentral.
UACGAACCGAGCGAACGUUGUUCGGAAUCACUGGGCUUAAAGGGCGCGUAGGCGGGUGCUCAAGUCCGGGGUGAAAUCCUCCAGCUCAACUGGAGAACUGCCUCGGAUACUGGGUGCCUCGAGUGUGGUAGGGGUGUGCGGAACUAUCGGUGGAGCGGUGAAAUGCGUUGAUAUCGAUAGGAACUCCGGUGGCGAAGGCGGCACACUGGACCACAACUGACGCUGAGGCGCGAAAGCCAGGGGAGCAAACGGG